ACAGCAGCAGCCGCGGUAAUACGAAGGGUGCAAGCGUUAAUCGGAAUUACUGGGCGUAAAGCGUGCGUAGGCGGUUUGUUAAGUCUGCUGUGAAAUCCCCGGGCUCAACCUGGGAAUGGCAGUGGAUACUGGCAAGCUAGAGUGUGUCAGAGGAUGGUGGAAUUCCCGGUGUAGCGGUGAAAUGCGUAGAGAUCGGGAGGAACAUCAGUGGCGAAGGCGGCCAUCUGGGACAACACUGACGCUGAGGCACGAAAGCGUGGGGAGCAAACAGGAUUAGAUACCCGCGUAGUCCCUGUCUCUUAUAC
RNAcentral lists this ribosomal RNA (305 nucleotides) under uncultured bacterium. RNAcentral describes it as "partial 16S ribosomal RNA". It matches the Rfam family "Bacterial small subunit ribosomal RNA", at positions 505 to 807 of the family's 1533-position model. The record is from RNAcentral.